AAUGGCCUGCGGUGUGCGUGAAUCAAACUUUUGCUGCCUAACAUAUCAGCGCGGGGGUCAGUCCCUGAAGGGGGUGUGCCCGCCUUCCAAAAUGAGGAAGGACGCCUAAACCCUUCACACCUCACCCCACCUUUGAGGAUCAGGUACAAAAGCCCUAUUUGACACGGCACCGCGGACCCUUC
RNAcentral lists this non-coding RNA (182 nucleotides) under Deltaproteobacteria bacterium. Its description in RNAcentral is "6S RNA". It matches the Rfam family "6S / SsrS RNA". From Rfam's summary of the family: E. coli 6S RNA was the first non coding RNA to be sequenced, but its function was unknown until recently. It consists of 184 nucleotides that fold into an extended hairpin structure with a large single-stranded internal bulge. Lineage: Bacteria; Pseudomonadati; Myxococcota; Myxococcia. The record is from RNAcentral.